The sequence is a ribosomal RNA, 128 nucleotides long. It matches the Rfam family "Bacterial large subunit ribosomal RNA", at positions 1166 to 1299 of the family's 2925-position model.
AAAAAUGUACCGGGGCUAAAACAUAUUACCGAAGCUGUGGAUACCUUUUAGGUAUGGUAGGAGAGCGUUCUAUGUGUGAUGAAGGUGUACCGUGAGGAGCGCUGGAACGCAUAGAAGUGAGAAUGCCG